Molecule: long non-coding RNA, 347 nt
Filed under: Cricetulus griseus (Chinese hamster)
Lineage: Eukaryota; Metazoa; Chordata; Mammalia; Rodentia; Cricetidae
Description: lncRNA (ENSCGRG00015037384.1)
Source: RNAcentral
CUUUGCCAAGGCACCUUCUGAUUGGUUUAAUAAAAGACAUAACUGGCCAAUAGCUAGGCAGGGAGAGGUUAGGCAGGAGAGCCAAACUGAGAGGAAGCUGGGAAAGAAGACAGACGGAGUCACAGGAGAUGAAAAUGCCCUGCUGAAAAAGUUAAACUGGAGAAUCCCCUGUGACUUCAGAAGCACCUUUAAAGUAAUGGAAAUUACAAUGUACUCUGGAGAGAGUUAUGAGGAUUUAAUUAAAGUCAGCUUGUCCUACUUUCCAUAGUUUCUCCAGAGCUGAGAAGAGAUGCUCUGUAGAACAAGCUGGACUCAACUCAAAGAGAACCACCUGAUUCUGCCUUUGG